CUGGACUGUUUUCAUGCACUCACACUGAAAACUGCUCCACAAAGAUGUCGCCACUUACUUUGCUUCUCUUGCUGGGUUUUCUGAGUCAAGAGUCUUCUGCCAGCAAUUUCCUGACUCAGACUGACAAAGUCAUGUCUGUUAGUGUUGGAGGGACUGUGAACAUCAGGGCCACAGGGAGUUCAAACAUUGGUGGUGAUCUCAGUUGGUAUCUUCAGAAACCUGGACAGGCUCCAAAACUUCUUAUAUACUAUACAUCAACUCUCAACUCUGGAACUCCAUCUCGAUUCAGUGGCAGCAGAUCUGGUUCUGACUAUACUUUAACCAUCAGUGGAGUUCAGGCUGAAGAUGCUGGAGAUUAUUACUGUCUUGGUUAUCAUGGUAGUGGAGUGUACACUUUUGGUGGAGGAACCAAAGUCAUCAUCUUCUCCGGUGCCAAUGUCAGGCCCUCAGUCUCUCUGCUGCCCCCGUCCCCUAAGCAGCUCUCUGGGGGCUCGGCCACGCUGGCCUGCCUGCUGAGUGGCUACUCUCCUCAGGGAGCCGUGGUGAGCUGGGAGGUGGACGGCACGGAGGUGUCAGAGGGGGUCCUGAACAGUUUGGAGCAGGAGAAGAGCGGCCGCUACAGCAGCAGCAGCAGCCUGAGCCUGAGCCAGGAGCAGUGGCUGAAAGGAGAGAUGUACACCUGCAAGGUGGUCCAUCACGGCCACAACCAGGCCCAGACCCUGCACAGGAGCCAGUGUGAGGGUUAGUGGUGGUGAAUGAAGGCCUGACAACAUCGACUUUAACGUUUGAAGAUGAAAAUAAAGCUUUGAGUUUUUGUGCUGCGAGUGUGUUUCCACAAUGUCGUUCUGACGACUCGUGUUUUGCCAAUAAAUGUUGCAGUGAUACAAAACA
Molecule: non-coding RNA, 891 nt
Organism: Solea senegalensis (Senegalese sole)
Lineage: Eukaryota; Metazoa; Chordata; Actinopteri; Pleuronectiformes; Soleidae
Source: the annotation of a RefSeq genome assembly